This 689-nucleotide long non-coding RNA is filed under the name Elaeis guineensis (African oil palm). RNAcentral's name for it is "long non-coding RNA (EGUI_LNC080771)". Lineage: Eukaryota; Viridiplantae; Streptophyta; Magnoliopsida; Arecales; Arecaceae. The record is from RNAcentral.
GGUCAAGGUCCUCACCAUUUGAUCUGUACGAAUCUCUACUUCACGAAACAAAAGUUAACGACCACUUUUCCAUCCAUUUGGGUUUGAGAAAGUAAAAAAAAGAAAAUAGACCAUAAAUGUGGAUGGGAUGGAAGCCUAUAAGCAUCCAGCCACCAUUAAUGCAGAUGGGUUAGGUUACUUUAGGCCUUCUCAGUAAUAAACAACAAGAAUAAAAGAUAAAUACAAAUUUCAGAUGGAAUAAAUACCAACUCCUUCAGAAUAAACACAAACCUUUUUAGAAUAAAUUCAAACUAGUCUAGAAUAAAUACAAACAUUUCUAGAAUAAACCUUUCCAAAAGAAAUAGACAUGCUUCAGAAUAGACAUAAACACAUCACUCCACUUCCUUCCCAUCUUCCACCGAAGCCAUUAGCCACUCCCAAGGUAUGCUGAACUGAUACCGUCGGCUGUUUCGGCAGGCCAGCAAUACGGUUCGGUAUGGUUUCAUACCGUACCGAACCGAUGACCCAAAUCGGAAGAAAAAAAGAGAGAAAUAGAGAGAGAGAAAGAGGAAGAAAAAAAAGAGAGGGGAAGGAGCCGGCGGGGCCAUUGGAGGGCAUGGUCCACGCUUGCGGCGCCACAGGCGUGAAACAGGGGCAUCGUCCUUGUUUCACAAAUUUUUAAAAAAAACAUGGUUUUAAGUGAAGUCGGC